RNAcentral lists this ribosomal RNA (435 nucleotides) under uncultured bacterium. RNAcentral describes it as "bacterial SSU rRNA". It matches the Rfam family "Bacterial small subunit ribosomal RNA", at positions 340 to 762 of the family's 1533-position model. The record is from RNAcentral.
UACGGAAGGCAGCAGUGGGGAAUAUUGCACAAUGGGCGCAAGCCUGAUGCAGCUAUGCCGCGUGUAUGAAGAAGGCCUUAGGGUUGUAAAGUACUUUUCAUCGGGGAGGAAAAAACAAAACUAAUAAUUUUUAUUUUCUUUGACGUUACCCGAAAAAGAAGCACCGGCUAACUCCGUGCCAGCAGCCGCGGUAAUACGGAGGGUGCUAGCGUUAAUCAGAAUUACUGGGCGUAAAGAGCACGUAGGUGGUUUUUUUAAGUUCAGAUGUGAAAUCCCUGGGCUUAACCUAGGAACUGCAUUUUGAAACUGAAAUACUAGAGUAUCGUAGAGGGAGGUAGAAUUCUAGGUGUAGCGGUGAAAUGCGUAGAUAUCUGGAGGAUACCUGUGGCGAAAGCGGCCUCCUAAACGAAUACUGACACUGAGGUGCGAAAGCGU